GACGAACGCUGGCGGCGUGCCUAAUACAUGCAAGUCGAACGCACAGUUUAUACCGUAGCUUGCUACACCAUAGACUGUGAGUUGCGAACGGGUGAGUAACGCGUAGGUAACCUGCCUGGUAGCGGGGGAUAACUAUUGGAAACGAUAGCUAAUACCGCAUAAUAUUGAUUAUUGCAUGAUAAUUAAUUGAAAGGUGCAAUUGCACCACUACCAGAUGGACCUGCGUUGUAUUAGCUAGUAGGUGAGGUAACGGCUCACCUAGGCGACGAUACAUAGCCGACCUGAGAGGGUGAUCGGCCACACUGGGACUGAGACACGGCCCAGACUCCUACGGGAGGCAGCAGUAGGGAAUCUUCGGCAAUGGACGAAAGUCUGACCGAGCAACGCCGCGUGAGUGAAGAAGGGUUUCGGAUCGUAAAGCUCGGUUGUAAGAGAAGAACGGGUGUGAGAGUGGAAAGUUCACACUGUGACGGUAUCUUACCAGAAAGGGACGGCUAACUACGUG
Molecule: ribosomal RNA, 505 nt
Filed under: uncultured bacterium
Lineage: Bacteria
Description: partial 16S ribosomal RNA
Rfam family: Bacterial small subunit ribosomal RNA
Source: RNAcentral